GACCUCAAAUCAGGUAGGACUACCCGCUGAACUUAAGCAUAUCAAUAAGCGGAGGAAAAGAAACUAACAAGGAUUCCCCUAGUAACUGCGAGUGAAGCGGGAAAAGCUCAAAUUUAAAAUCUGGCGGUUUUGCCGUCCGAGUUGUAAUCUGGAGAAGCGUUUUCCGCGUUGGACCGUGUACAAGUCUCUUGGAACAGAGCGUCAUAGAGGGUGAGAAUCCCGUCUUUGACACGGACUACCAAUGCUUUGUGAUACGCUCUCAAAGAGUCGAGUUGUUUGGGAAUGCAGCUCAAAAUGGGUGGUAAAUUCCAUCUAAAGCUAAAUAUUGGCGAGAGACCGAUAGCGAACAAGUACCGUGAGGGAAAGAUGAAAAGCACUUUGGAAAGAGAGUUAAACAGUACGUGAAAUUGUUGAAAGGGAAACGCUUGAAGUCAG
This 435-nucleotide ribosomal RNA is filed under the name uncultured fungus. RNAcentral describes it as "eukaryotic LSU rRNA". It matches the Rfam family "Eukaryotic large subunit ribosomal RNA", at positions 1 to 432 of the family's 3401-position model. The record is from RNAcentral. Lineage: Eukaryota; Fungi.